AUGGUUACUAUCCAUAGAGCGCCGGCCGUUCACUCGCGGAGAGCUGUCUCCCUGUCUGUUCACCUGAGAACCUGCCGAAGCCUCUCCGCUGUUUUUGUACGGCGGCUCAAUGAGUUUGUAUCACUGUGGUACACGUUCGGUGGAGGAACCAGACUGGAUGUUGGAAGUGAUGUCCGUCCCACCCUGACGGUGCUGCCCCCCUCCAGUGAGGAGCUGCAGCAGGGGAAGGCCACGCUCAUGUGCCUGGCCAACAAGGGCUUCCCCUCAGACUGGAGUCUGGCCUGGAAGGUGGACGGCAGCAGCAGCAGCAGCAGCAGCUGGGAGGAGAGCAGGAGCCCCGGGGUGCUGGAGAAGGACGGCCGCUACAGCUGGAGCAGCACCCUGAGGCUCCCUGCAGACC
Non-coding RNA from Micropterus dolomieu (smallmouth bass), 400 nucleotides. The record is from the annotation of a RefSeq genome assembly. Lineage: Eukaryota; Metazoa; Chordata; Actinopteri; Centrarchiformes; Centrarchidae.